Molecule: ribosomal RNA, 497 nt
Filed under: uncultured bacterium
Lineage: Bacteria
Description: partial 16S ribosomal RNA
Rfam family: Bacterial small subunit ribosomal RNA
Source: RNAcentral
GAUGAACGCUGGCGGCGUGCCUAAUACAUGCAAGUCGAGCGAACAGACGAGGAGCUUGCUCCUCUGAUGUUAGCGGCGGACGGGUGUGUAACACGUGGAUAACCUACCUAUAAGACUGGGAUAACUUCGGGAAACCGGAGCUAAUACCGGAUAACAUGUUGAACCGCAUGGUUCAACAGUGAAAGACGGUCUUGCUGUCACUUAUAGAUGGAUCCGCGCCGCAUUAGCUAGUUGGUAAGGUAACGGCUUACCAAGGCAACGAUGCGUAGCCGACCUGAGAGGGUGAUCGGCCACACUGGAACUGAGACACGGUCCAGACUCCUACGGGAGGCAGCAGUAGGGAAUCUUCCGCAAUGGGCGAAAGCCUGACGGAGCAACGCCGCGUGAGUGAAGAAGGUCUUCGGAUCGUAAAACUCUGUUAUUAGGGAAGAACAAAUGUGUAAGUAACUAUGCACGUCUUGACGGUACCUAAUCAGAAAGCCACGGCUAACUACGUG